GGACGAACGCUGGCGGCGUGCCUAAUACAUGCAAGUCGAACGGACGAUGGGGCUUCGGCCCCAAAGUUAGUGGCGAACGGGUGAGUAACGCGUGAGCAACCUGACUCAAAGAGGGGGACAACAGCUGGAAACGGCUGCUAAUACCGCAUAAGACCACAGCGCGGCAUCGCAAAGGGGUCAAAGAAUUAUCGCUUUGAGAGGGGCUCGCGUCCCAUUAGAUAGUUGGUGAGGUAACGGCCCACCAAGUCCGCGAUGGGUAGCCGAGCUGAGAGGCUGAUCGGCCACACUGGAACUGAGACACGGUCCAGACUCCUACGGGAGGCAGCAGUAGGGAAUAUUGGGCAAUGGGCGCAAGCCUGAACCCCAGCAACGCCGCGUGAGGGAAGAAGGUUUUCGGAUUGUAAACCUCUGUCCUAUGUGACGAAGGAAGUGACGGUAGCAUAGGAGGAAGCCCCGGCUAACUACGUGCCAGCCGCUGC
RNAcentral lists this ribosomal RNA (479 nucleotides) under uncultured bacterium. RNAcentral describes it as "bacterial SSU rRNA". It matches the Rfam family "Bacterial small subunit ribosomal RNA", at positions 27 to 518 of the family's 1533-position model. The record is from RNAcentral.